RNAcentral lists this ribosomal RNA (253 nucleotides) under uncultured bacterium. RNAcentral's name for it is "partial 16S ribosomal RNA". It matches the Rfam family "Bacterial small subunit ribosomal RNA", at positions 524 to 776 of the family's 1533-position model. The record is from RNAcentral.
UACGGGGGGGGCAAGCGUUGUUCGGAAUUACUGGGCGUAAAGGGCUCGUAGGUGGCCAACUAAGUCAGACGUGAAAUCCCUCGGCUUAACCGGGGAACUGCGUCUGAUACUGGAUGGCUUGAGUUUGGGAGAGGGAUGCGGAAUUCCAGGUGUAGCGGUGAAAUGCGUAGAUAUCUGGAGGAACACCGGUGGCGAAGGCGGCAUCCUGGGUCGGAAUUGACGCUGAGGGGCGAAAGCCAGGGGAGCAAACGGG